GUUAGCUUGGGUUCCACACCAUUCCAGUAGUUGAAAGUACAGGGAUGAAAGAGAGAUGUAACGGGGAUGAAAUUGCGCCUUUUGAAGGCAAAUUCAAAGGACAGGAAAGCUCAAACAGCUAUUGAAAGGUUAUAGGAAAAGAAAUGUAUCCAGUUUCCUUAGAUAUCUCAGGUGAAAAAGGGUCAUUCUAUCCUUCCCUAAAGGACAUUCACUCAGAUAUAGGGUAAGCAUGAAAAUUCCAUAUCGGCUAAGUAUUGAAAGUCGAUUCCCUAAGUCUAAUGAGCCCUGUAGAGCCUGUCACGAAGGCACUAGGAAAACUACCUUCCUUCUUUUAUUCUUUUUUU
RNAcentral lists this unclassified non-coding RNA (344 nucleotides) under Hevea brasiliensis (rubber tree). Lineage: Eukaryota; Viridiplantae; Streptophyta; Magnoliopsida; Malpighiales; Euphorbiaceae. The record is from RNAcentral.